RNAcentral lists this long non-coding RNA (951 nucleotides) under Physcomitrium patens. Its description in RNAcentral is "long non-coding RNA (PPAT_LNC004079)". The record is from RNAcentral. Lineage: Eukaryota; Viridiplantae; Streptophyta; Bryopsida; Funariales; Funariaceae.
CCAAUCAUUAUCCCCACCACAAACGAAGUAAUUCUGGAAAUUCAAAAAUGAUGAGGAAACUUGGUUGAGCCGUCUCUAGCAUGCUACAAAUUUUUUUGAAGAUACAGGAAUUCACAAAAACCCUGAUCUUACGAGAAGAAAACCAGCGCUUACUUCCAAGUGGAAAAUUGGUUGCACGGAGGUGCGUUCGAGGCCCAUAUUGGUAAGAGAAAUAAGAGGCAUUCCCAUUCAUCAAAGAUUCAAUUGCAUGACCAAAUAUUGGACUCUUUUUGUCGAUGAUAUGUCUCACCGCCAACCCAAACCGCAAAUAAGUGACCUGCACACGAUAGCAAGUACUCAACAAAAAAGUAAAUUUUUAGGGAAACUAUUUAUGAACACAAAAACAAGACAAUCUUGUGAGUAAAGUGAUGGGGUGGAAUGUUUGAUAGUGAUCCUGCAUGCUUAAUUGAUACCUCAGGGCCGAACGAAUUCAAGAUCAUGUGUUGAGCAGAAUGUGGAGCCCGAGGGCAGCAUCAUAAAAAUUCGGAAUGUCAAACCGAUCUUGGCGUCUACUAACUCGCAUGAGGCAGGGCCUGUCAAUAACAGCCUCACAGCAAAAAAAAAAAAAAAAAAAAAAAAAAAAACCCUAUCACGAAAGCCAACAAGCUCCAGCAAUGACACUGAAGAAAAGAGGGCUAACGAAAAUAAGGAACAACAAGCCAGCCUUCACCGGAACACCAUGCUAACUGCAUGCCUAAGACCUCCAGGUAAUAAUGUCAAAUUCAGCAUGUGACAGUGACCAUAAUCAUCCCCCAUAGGCUAGAAAAAUUUGACAUCUCAACAAGGCCAUCUCUAGCAAUAAUAGAUGAGUGGAAAAUGUUCGCUGGAAAUCCAACUUGCUCUUUUCUUCCCCAGGUGCUGCUAAAUAGUCAUCACCACGUAGACGUCUUGCAAAAUGGAUCAUUUUGAGUG